RNAcentral lists this ribosomal RNA (197 nucleotides) under uncultured bacterium. RNAcentral describes it as "partial 16S ribosomal RNA". It matches the Rfam family "Bacterial small subunit ribosomal RNA", at positions 328 to 539 of the family's 1533-position model. The record is from RNAcentral.
ACGCUCGACACCUACGGAGGCAGCAGUGGGGAAUAUUGCACAAUGGGGGAAACCCUGAUGCAGCGACGCCGCGUGAAGGAAGAAGUAUCUCGGUAUGUAAACUUCUAUCAGCAGGGAAGAAAAUGACGGUACCUGACUAAGAAGCCCCGGCUAACUACGUGCCAGCAGCCGCGGUAAUCUGAGCGGGCUGGCAAGGC